UACGAAGGGGGCAAGCGUUGUUCGGAAUUACUGGGCGUAAAGGGCGCGUAGGCGGUGCACUAAGUCAGGCGUGAAAGCCCUGGGCUCAACCCGGGAAUUGCGCUUGAUACUGGUGCGCUUGAAUCCAGGAGAGGUUGGUGGAAUUCCCAGUGUAGAGGUGAAAUUCGUAGAGAUUGGGAAGAACACCAGUGGCGAAGGCGGCUCACUGGCCCGGUACUGACGCUGAGGUGCGAAAGCGUGGGGAGCAAACAGG
This 253-nucleotide ribosomal RNA is filed under the name uncultured bacterium. RNAcentral's name for it is "partial 16S ribosomal RNA". It matches the Rfam family "Bacterial small subunit ribosomal RNA", at positions 524 to 776 of the family's 1533-position model. The record is from RNAcentral.